AGCAGGUUAGCUCAGUUGGUUUGUGUGUGGUGCUAAUAAUACCAAGGUAGCAGGUUGAUCCCUGUACAGGCUA
RNAcentral lists this transfer RNA (73 nucleotides) under Scleropages formosus (Asian bonytongue). RNAcentral's name for it is "tRNA-Ile". The record is from RNAcentral. Lineage: Eukaryota; Metazoa; Chordata; Actinopteri; Osteoglossiformes; Osteoglossidae.